UCGGGAAUUUUGGGCAAUGGGCGAAAGCCUGACCCAGCAACGCCGCGUGAAGGAUGAAGUAUUUCGGUAUGUAAACUUCGAAAGAAUAGGAAGAAUAAAUGACGGUACUAUUUAUAAGGUCCGGCUAACUACGUGCCAGCAGCCGCGGUAAUACAGAGGUCUCAAGCGUUGUUCGGAUUUACUGGGCGUAAAGGGUGCGUAGGCGGCGGCGUAAGUCGAGUGUGAAAUCUUCCGGCUCAACCGGAAAAUUGCACUCGAUACUGUGUCGCUCGAGGACUGUAGAGGAGACUGGAAUUCACGGUGUAGCAGUGAAAUGCGUAGAUAUCGUGAGGAAGACCGGUGGCGAAAGCGAGUCUCUGGGCAGUUCCUGACGCUGAGGCACGAAGGCUAGGGGAGCAAACGGGAUUAGAUACCCUUGUAGUCCCUGAGCGGGCUGGCAAGGCGCAU
This 447-nucleotide ribosomal RNA is filed under the name uncultured bacterium. RNAcentral's name for it is "bacterial SSU rRNA". It matches the Rfam family "Bacterial small subunit ribosomal RNA", at positions 355 to 825 of the family's 1533-position model. The record is from RNAcentral.